AAGAAGCAAGAUGUUGCCAGUUUUAUUGCCACUGGAAAUCUAUAUUGGUUUCAGAAAGGAAAGAAACAGAGAUAUUUAUUUUCUGCUUAACAAACAACUAAACGUAGUUUAACAAAGAGCUUUAUUAGUUUUGCCAACAGGAUUUAGUGACGCAGCUAUCAUACUACCGACUGCACAUACCUUUUAAUUUUCUAAGUUUAUAUCAAUGAUAUUUCAGAGAAAAAAAGGUAAGAGUAAUUACCCAAUGUCUGUUUAGAUGUUUUUAAGUUGUAGUGCAAGUCACAACUAGAGGCACAUGGUGCCAUUAUGUGCCAUUAAUGAAUCAUCAAUGAGCUGGCAGCGCGUAAUCUAUGUUGCCCUAUAAACGUGAAAAUAGUCGCUUCAGUAAUAAUAGUUUCAGAUUAGAGUUAUCAUCUAUUCCUGCCCCACUCCCACGGGUAUUGGAUGAAUGUCAACGUGGUUUUCUUGUCUGUAAGUGAGAGCUAAUUUGCAACAACUCAGUUGAAUAUGAAACACUCAUAGAAAUGUUGCACACGACUAAGAAGAAUGCCAGGGAAGACCAAACUGAACUUAAUGUAUAUGUAUAUAUAUAUAUACAUAUAUAUAUAUAUAGAUAGAUAUAGAUAUAGAGAGAGAGAGAGGGGGGGGAGAGAAUAUUUUAAAAGUGUACGAUCACCAAAACAGAAAAAAGGUUUCGGCAGUUAUUUUUCAAGAAACGUCAUAAAUAAGCGAAGAAUAUUCCGUUCCACUUAGAAAAUAGUUAAUGCCAAACUUUAAGGAGUAUUUUCAAUAAACAGACUUAAGGAUUAAAAGAAAGGGAAAAUAAAAAAAACUGAACUUGUAAUAUUUAUAAAUUUAAUGUGGGAAAUAACGGUAACGGAAAUAUAUUUAAGGGGGGGGGGUAAGUCGAUGCCACAGACUUCAAUGAUGAACUGGUACUUCUUUUAAUCGAUCUCUAAAGGAUGAAAGACAGAGUGGAUGUCGGUGGAAUUUGUCGCGAAGCAUUUUGCCCGGCGUGCUAACGAUUCUGCCAGCUCGCCAUUUUGAACAAAUGGAAAGAAAUUAAAUAAACUAUUUUACUGCAAAACCUUAUUCUGAAAGAGGGAUAAAUAUAUAAUUAUUGAGAACUUUUCUAAUUGUUACACUGUGGGGAGUACAAACCCUUAUUGGAAAUUAGAAUCAUUGUAUCUGCUAAUCAGUUAGUACCACAAACUGUGCGCCAAAGAAUUGUAUGGCUUUAGUUAUUCCUGCUUUUACAGGAACUUUGAGCGUCAAGAUCAAAUCUAAUGACACCAACAAUAUGGAAGUCAACUAGAGUUUUGGCAGUUGAUUUAUUUCUUUGUGGCACAAUUACAGAACGGAAGAUUCAGUUUACCCUUUCAGACACAAUGUCACUGUUCACUUUACUCCAGCAUUUAUGAGUUGAUGCCAAAACAUUCGUCGCACUGUCUGCAGCUUAACCUCUCUCACUGAUCCACUGCAGAAUUUAUGAUAGCUUGGUGGUAAAAGGUCUCUGAGAGAAUUCUCUUUCCUUGUUAGAGUACGUUACAUUUUAAUUUAUAUGUUUUAAUACAUCUCUAAGGAGUAGCGAAGAACUGUCCUGCCACAAUUCUUUUCUCGAGUAUGAUGGAAUCCGCAAGCAACCUUAUCCUACCCAUCGCUACCCCUUUAAUGACACGAACUAAUAUUACAUCAACAAGUUUGGAAAACAAUGGCAGCAAUGAUGAAAGCAAUUGUUCAAAAUCGUUUGGACAGAAAAAAAUAUGAAUUCUAUAGAGGAAGUCAGAACAGUACUGGAGGAGUCCUAUUUGUCACAGCCAACUGAAUUUUGAAAGAAAGGCCUACCAACCCAUCCAGAGAAGUGGAAGAGCAUUGUAGAAAAUGAAGGGGAGUAUAUUUUGGAUUUAAAAAGAAUUUGUUUAUCUUAAUUUUGAAAAAUAGGAAGUAUAAAAAAAUCGCAUUAUUUAUGGGAUGACCCAAUAUAUCCAUCCAUCCAUCCAUCCAUCCAUCCAUCCAUCCAUCCAUCCAUCCAUCUAUCUAUCUAUCUAUCUAUCUAUCCAUCUAUCCAUCUAUCUAUCUCUCUCUCUCUAUCUACCUAUCUCUCUCUCUCUCUCUCUAUCUAUCUAUCUAUCUACCUAUCUAUCUCUCUAUCUAUCUAUGAUGGUUGUCUACCCUUAUGCAGAGUCUGACCACCCCCUGUACCUACACCUCAGAUCCAUCAUGGCGUCUGUUUUGGCUUUUUAAAUCAGACAAUGUAUUGAAAAGACACCCACACAGAUUGCAUGUCUGCUUUGGACCACCAAGAGCUGCAGUUAAGUUCUGAUCUUUGUGGAUCUUAAAAUGUCUUUUGAAGCCGCCGUAUGAUCUACAGACCUUACGCCAUACACGGCAUUGGAAGGUGUGCACAGAUAUAUAGGCAGAAUAGUUGGUGAAGGUUCACUUUUCAUUAGUCCACAAAUCAGGCUUGAGAUACACACACACACACACACACACACACACACACACACACACACGUAUCGAUAUAAAUAGAUUGAUCGAUUGAUAAAUCUGAAACAUUCUAAAUGGAUUUUAGCAUAGGGUUUUCACAGCAUGUAACGUGCAAUCACGUAUCCUUGUAAAUACUCAGAGUGAGGAUUAGUUAUUUUAGUUUAACGUUCCUAUUCACGUAAUAGAAAGGGACGGUCGGUUGUGAAAAUUAUAUAAAGUAGUGACAAAGAAAAUUAUAUAAACGCUGUCGAUUCCUGUCCUUUAAACUCUCUAAAAUAUGUAACUGCAGAUGUUUAAAAUGAUGGUAAUCAUUCUGGUCAAUAAAAUGAAAAUGAUAUUACACAUCGACCAAUGGCACCGGUCUAGCGCCAUACAUUGUUUCUGUUAAUGCUUCGUACACUAAAACUUACAAAGCCAGUUUAAUAUAUGAUUUUCUUUAAUUUUAUUUACUUAUAUUUUCCUGCAAAUAGCCUCUCAGAAUUAUCUCAGAAUGAUACUAUAUUCUCAUGCUAAUAAAUUUACAAACUAUCUACAUUUAGCAACUUAUACAGUGCUACUUCGGCAUUUGUGAUUAGCAUUCGUUGAUGAAUCCCAGCAUAACUCUAAUCUGCUCGGAAUUAUUUCUCGUAAUACGAUCAACUGACUAUAAACUUUUAUAUUUCAACACACACUUUUAAUGAAAUAUGUAUUAAAUAGCUUAACGCUAACCUAAUUAAUUUUUGCAUUGUAGAUGGUGAGAUGGAAUACCAGAAUUCUGUUAUGUGUACGUCCAACACACUGAUGCACUUUUGAAGUAACUCAUGCACUAAAUAUACGAACAAUUUGUGACUUGGUAUAAUAAACAAAUUCAUCUGUGUCAAAUAAGCUUUCAUACGCCGGGUUUAUCCGAUCUUAGGAGGUCAAAAAGUUUCA
This is an unclassified non-coding RNA of Octopus bimaculoides (California two-spot octopus), 3399 nucleotides long. The record is from RefSeq and is a predicted model, not a curated record. NCBI's taxonomy places the organism in Eukaryota, Metazoa, Mollusca, Cephalopoda, Octopoda, Octopodidae.